AUUCCAGCUCCAAUAGCGUAUACUAAAGUUGUUGCAGUUAAAAAGCUCGUAGUUGAAUUUCUGGUCGUGAAAAGUGGUCCGUUCCGCAAGGAAUGUGUACUGUCUAUUCAUGUCCAUCCUCGGAGUUAGUGUGUAUUACUUUAAUCGGUCGUGCAUGCAAUACUUCGUCAUUUACUGUGAGCAAAAUAGAGUGUUCAAAGCAGGCUUAUGCCGUUGAAUAUAUUAGCAUGGAAUAAUAAGAUAUGACUUUGGUCUAUUUUGUUGGUUUGCACUCCAAAGUAAUGAUUAAUAGGGAUAGUUGGGGGUAUUCGUAUUCAAUUGUCAGAGGUGAAAUUCUUGGAUUUAUGGAAGACGAACUACUGCGAAAGCAUUUACCAAGGAUGUUUUCAUUA
Molecule: ribosomal RNA, 392 nt
Filed under: Chrysophyceae sp.
Lineage: Eukaryota; Chrysophyceae
Description: partial small subunit ribosomal RNA
Rfam family: Eukaryotic small subunit ribosomal RNA
Source: RNAcentral